GGGCCCGUGGCUCAGCCAGGUAGAGCGGCUGGCUCUUAACCAGUAGGUCGGGGGUCCAAAUCCCCCCGAACCCG
Molecule: transfer RNA, 74 nt
Filed under: Nitrososphaerota archaeon
Lineage: Archaea; Thermoproteati; Nitrososphaerota
Description: tRNA-Lys
Rfam family: tRNA
About the family: Transfer RNA (tRNA) molecules are approximately 80 nucleotides in length. Their secondary structure includes four short double-helical elements and three loops (D, anti-codon, and T loops).
Source: RNAcentral